This 444-nucleotide ribosomal RNA is filed under the name uncultured bacterium. RNAcentral describes it as "partial 16S ribosomal RNA". It matches the Rfam family "Bacterial small subunit ribosomal RNA", at positions 354 to 796 of the family's 1533-position model. The record is from RNAcentral.
GUAGGGAAUAUUGGGCAAUGGUCGGAAGACUGACCCAGCCAUGCCGCGUGCAGGAAGACGGCCCUCUGGGUUGUAAACUGCUUUUAUCUGGGAAGAAAAAGGCCAUGCGUGGCAAAUUGCCGGUACCAGAUGAAUAAGCACCGGCUAACUCCGUGCCAGCAGCCGCGGUAAUACGGAGGGUGUGAGCGUUGUCCGGAUUUAUUGGGUUUAAAGGGUGCGUAGGCGGCUGAUUAAGUCAGCGGUGAAAGACUUCGGCUUAACCGGAGCAGUGCCGUUGAUACUGGUUGGCUUGAGUGUCGGAGGGGUACAUGGAAUUGAUGGUGUAGCGGUGAAAUGCAUAGAUACCAUCAGGAACACUGAUAGCGAAGGCAUUGUACUGGCCGACAACUGACGCUGAUGCACGAAAGUGUGGGGAUCGAACAGGAUUAGAAACCCGGGUAGUCC